Molecule: long non-coding RNA, 209 nt
Filed under: Elaeis guineensis (African oil palm)
Lineage: Eukaryota; Viridiplantae; Streptophyta; Magnoliopsida; Arecales; Arecaceae
Description: long non-coding RNA (EGUI_LNC009864)
Source: RNAcentral
ACAAAGAUUAUCCUGGUUAAGAUUUUACUAAAUUGAAACAUAUUAUAGCAUUAUCUCUAAUAAUCUGAAGUGGUUAAUCCCAUCUUGACUCACACAUAGACUUCGCAAAUACUUGACUGUGUCCAGAAACCUUCCAUCACUAUAUUAAAAAUACAGAUAAUCCAGCAUCAAAGUACAGUGAGUUACUUGUAAGUCAUCGUAGUGAUCUC